Molecule: ribosomal RNA, 465 nt
Filed under: Vreelandella stevensii
Lineage: Bacteria; Pseudomonadati; Pseudomonadota; Gammaproteobacteria; Oceanospirillales; Halomonadaceae
Description: partial 16S ribosomal RNA
Rfam family: Bacterial small subunit ribosomal RNA
Source: RNAcentral
CCUACGGGAGGCAGCAGUGGGGAAUAUUGGACAAUGGGCGAAAGCCUGAUCCAGCCAUGCCGCGUGUGUGAAGAAGGCCUUCGGGUUGUAAAGCACUUUCAGUGGGGAAGAAAGCCUUGGGGCUAAUGCCCUCGAGGAAGGACAUCACCCACAGAAGAAGCACCGGCUAACUCCGUGCCAGCAGCCGCGGUAAUACGGAGGGUGCGAGCGUUAAUCGGAAUUACUGGGCGUAAAGCGCGCAUAGGCGGUCUGAUAAGCCGGUUGUGAAAGCCCCGGGCUCAACCUGGGAACGGCAUCCGGAACUGUCAGGCUAGAGUGCAGGAGAGGAAGGUAGAAUUCCCGGUGUAGCGGUGAAAUGCGUAGAGAUCGGGAGGAAUACCAGUGGCGAAGGCGGCCUUCUGGACUGACACUGACGCUGAGGUGCGAAAGCGUGGGUAGCAAACAGGAUUAGAUACCCGAGUAGUC